Molecule: long non-coding RNA, 1229 nt
Organism: Alosa sapidissima (American shad)
Lineage: Eukaryota; Metazoa; Chordata; Actinopteri; Clupeiformes; Clupeidae
Exons: 9
Source: RefSeq, a predicted model, not a curated record
AAGGGUUCUUGUGGGUGCUAAAUAGAACCAUUGGGGUUCUUUGCCAAGGAAAUAGAACCUUUUGCCUGAAAAGGGUGCUAUUUCUUACUCGCGAGGAUUAUUUGAACUUAAACGACCGUUUAUGGAACCCUUUCCCGGAGACGCUCACUCUGCUGCAGUGGAUUUAACGAUGAAGAUGUCUGUCAAUGAUGAAGAUGUCUGAAACACAAUCUUGUUUUUGAGAGGUGGAAAAGUUACGCAAAUCAUCGUUGGUUCAGUACCCAAACCAUAAAAAAUACACUGAUGUCCUGUGGUGUCUGAUCACUAGAUAUCCAUUUCUUAAUGACCACAGCUAAUCUGGUUAUGAGACCCUGCUGGAGUGUAUUAAGAAUAAGUUCAAAAAGGAAAGGUCUCCUUUGAUAAACUUGACGACGGUGCAGGAGAUUAAGAGAAAGUUUGGUGUCAGAAGACAAAGAAUUGUGGCCAUGUGCCUCUGGAGGACCCACCUGGACAUCAGAGAGCAAAAAAGUACAGAGUGGGGGUCCAGAUGUCUUCUGAUUACGAGCCAACACAAGAGAUUAUGUUGGACCUUGAAGCAGUUGGGGAGGACUACCACAGCUUUCAAGAGCAUAUAAACGCCAUAAACAAUUAGUUGUGCCGUCGUCAGCCAGAUAUUAGUCAUAUAAUGGACAGGAUGAGGCAAACUGUCUAUAAGAGGGUAGAGCAAAUGGGAAAACCAACUGAGGAGGUGAUGGAGAUGUUCCAAUUUCUUUGGGUGCCAGAGCUGAUGCAUCAUGAAAUGAAGUUGCGGUUUGGACUGGACUUAAAGCUAAGCCUGCAUAACACCCUCGGUAUAUUGACCCCUAACGUCAUCAGAGUGGCUGACAGUGGGAGUCAGAGGGAGAGCCUGUCAAGCCUACGAGAUACUAACACAGAUGACCUUCAAAAAAGUGCUGCUGUCCUAAUUUUGCCUGCCCUUUUUAAGGAGGAUGCCAAGUUUCUGUAUUGUUUAGACGAGGAACCACUGAGCGUGUUUCCAACCAUCAUCUUCCAGGGUGGUGAUACUCCCCUCCUUGCCAGGAGAGCAUCCAUAAAGAUGGAUGGCAUCACAAUAGCAAGUGGAGAGAUGGAUGUGCCACAUGCCCUCCAAUGCGAAUUUGUCAUUGGCCCCUCCCCUGACAUUGAUGCCUCCUUAGGCCUUAUCUGUAUUUUUUGUUUAUAUUUUCUUUUUGAUGUUCAGUACCCAAAAG